This is a long non-coding RNA of Peromyscus eremicus (cactus mouse), 603 nucleotides long. RefSeq lists it as uncharacterized. The record is from RefSeq and is a predicted model, not a curated record. NCBI's taxonomy places the organism in Eukaryota, Metazoa, Chordata, Mammalia, Rodentia, Cricetidae. The transcript has 3 exons.
UAUUCACUUGACAUUCUAUUUGGGAAGGUAUUGUCUACAGAGAUGGAUGUGCCCAUGGAGACAGGAAGAGGACUGAACAAGGGACCUCUACAAGAACAGUAAUUGUUUUUGCCAACUGAGUCAUCUCUCCAUUCCCACACACUGAGUUUGGAGGAAAAUGUCUUCUUUCUCUUUCCCUUCUCUUGGUUUUACACCAACUCCUCCCACUAACAUGAUCUGGGAAGAGGUGUCUUCCUUUCCCAGUCAGGGGUCUCAGUGUUCACAACUUGGAGAUCAGGAUGGAAGAAUUCACGCAUGGUGGGCAAGAAUCAGAGCCAGGUUUAGAGUGUCUCUCCAAGGCAGGAUUAAUUGGAGAGAGAUGAGAUGAAGGGAGCAUAUUGCUGAUCACCCUACAGAAGGGGAUCCAUCCCAAAGCCCCUCCUCUAUGGUUUCUGUUGAAUGUAUUCUGCAUUUUAUGGAAACAAGAAUAAUCUCUCACUUUUAAGAAGGAGCAGAAUAAGCAUCACAGUUCUAAGGAUGAAGAGGUCAGAACCUAGCAGUGGAGGAUGAAGAAUAGGAGCUAAUGAGAAGCCAAAUCUGGCCAAUCUAAGUGGUUGCAAACCA